UGUAAUUUCCCUAUUUUAAUAUUCAACUCAACUUAUCUUAAGUACUAAAAUCAUACAUAAUAAUUGAAUUUAAUUUACAAAAAAGCUAGUUGUACAGAAAAAAAUUUACAGAAGCUUUACAGAUGUGUCACAAGGUGGUGAAUUAAAAUAUUGCAAAAAAUAACCCACCCACCCUACCAUAUGUGUAUUUUGUAAUGGUUCUAUACAAAAAAAUUUCUGUACAUGAAGCUUGGCUGUUUAAUUUAUAAUGUCGUGAGUUUUAGCCUCUCUUUGAC
Molecule: long non-coding RNA, 275 nt
Filed under: Olea europaea (common olive)
Lineage: Eukaryota; Viridiplantae; Streptophyta; Magnoliopsida; Lamiales; Oleaceae
Description: long non-coding RNA (OEUR_LNC004711)
Source: RNAcentral